AGAUUUCUCUUGUGACUGCUUUUAAGGAAAAAUAAAGAAGGGGUAAAGGAUAGUAGUAGCAAAAGCAAGGGCUUAUAUUCCAGCCUUUGUGGUACAAUUGAGAUGUGAUUCUGCCUCCACAGCUGGGAAAGGGAUUCUGACAGGACAGUAUUAGGAGAAGUAACAACAGGAACAUGUAGAAAUUCCAGCUGGAGCUGGGACUCAUUGUAGGUGUUCACUGUAUCCAUGGUGUCCUCCAUGAAAAGAUUUGCAGACAAACCAGAUGAGGACACAGUUUCACACUGAAGUUGUCUGAAGACAGAAAUCAUUUCAACAUUAGUAGAUCCUCUUUCCAGUCCCAGUUCUUGAACCUUGGUUAGAAUACAAAAAAAAAAAUACAUUCUACUUCUUAACCCCAAAAAACAUUAAUUCAAGCUAAAGGAAAAUUAGCAAUUUUUUUCCUUCACAGCUGCUAUCUUCUUACUCAAUCAGACAGCUUUGCCAUUCCAGUCCAUUGGGCUUAUUAUAUUUAUUUUUUUCCUCAGAUUCAUUCAUUAUCACAAGUAACCUCAUGUUUACCUCUCAAUGAACACAAAACAAGCUGUCAGAAUACCUGGGGAAAAUGAAUGCUCUGGAACUACAGUGCUCCUGGUGAAAUCUUUGCUGGGGCUGUAUUUACUAUUUUGUGGGGCAAGGAAGUGGAAAAAGCAAACCACUCCUAUAAGUCUUCAUUUACUUAUCUGUCACAUGAGUUUGUACCGAAAAUAAAAUGAUGAUAGUAUUUAAUGCUGGUAAACCAAAUUUUUAGCUGAUGCAAAUAGUCAUAAAUUCUGACUCUUGCACAGCUUCCUUAGCAGUUAACAUACAUGUCAAAGUCAGACCACCUGUGAGCUCAUAUUUUUGUGCUGACUUAAAUUCAUCUGUGCUAUAUUUGACCUUAGGUGAAACACCAAGAAAGAAGGAAAUUCACCACCACCAGGUCAAAACCUCUGGCUCUGCAACAUAUCCUAUCACUAUUCAAUUUUCUAUGCUAUUCACCUUUAUGCAUCAGGCUUACUCUU
Molecule: long non-coding RNA, 1040 nt
Organism: Oxyura jamaicensis (ruddy duck)
Lineage: Eukaryota; Metazoa; Chordata; Aves; Anseriformes; Anatidae
Exons: 3
Source: RefSeq, a predicted model, not a curated record